AGAGUUUGAUCCUGGCUCAGAUUGAACGCUGGCGGUAUGCUUUACACAUGCAAGUCGAACGGAUUAAGAAGCUUGCUUCUUAGUUAGUGGCGAACGGGUGAGUAAUAUAUCGGAACAUAUCCGGAAGUGGGGGAUAACGUAGCGAAAGUUACGCUAAUACCGCAUAUACCCUGAGGGGGAAAGGAGGGGAUCGCAAGACCUUUCGCUUUCGGAGUGGCCGAUAUCGGAUUAGCUAGAUGGUGAGGUAAAGGCUCACCAUGGCGACGAUCCGUAGCUGGUCUGAGAGGACGACCAGCCACACUGGAACUGAGACACGGUCCAGACUCCUACGGGAGGCAGCAGUGGGGAAUUUUGGACAAUGGGGGCAACCCUGAUCCAGCCAUACCGCGUGAGUGAAGAAGGCCUUCGGGUUGUAAAGCUCUUUCAGCCGGAAAGAAACGGUUACGGCUAAUACCCGUGACUAAUGACGGUACCGGCAGAAGAAGCACCGGCUAACUACGUGCCAGCAGCCGCGGUAAUACGUAGGGUGCGAGCGUUAAUCGGAAUUACUGGGCGUAAAGCGUGCGCAGGCGGUUUUUUAAGCCAGAUGUGAAAUCCCCGGGCUUAACCUGGGAACUGCAUUUGGAACUGGAAGACUAGAGUGUAGCAGAGGGGGGUAGAAUUCCACGUGUAGCAGUGAAAUGCGUAGAUAUGUGGAGGAAUACCGAUGGCGAAGGCAGCCCCCUGGGUUAACACUGACGCUCAUGCACGAAAGCGUGGGGAGCAAACAGGAUUAGAUACCCUGGUAGUCCACGCCCUAAACGAUGUCAACUAGGUGUUGGGGGAGGAGACUUCUUUAGUACCGCAGCUAACGCGUGAAGUUGACCGCCUGGGGAGUACGGUCGCAAGAUUAAAACUCAAAGGAAUUGAC
RNAcentral lists this ribosomal RNA (910 nucleotides) under uncultured beta proteobacterium. Its description in RNAcentral is "bacterial SSU rRNA". It matches the Rfam family "Bacterial small subunit ribosomal RNA", at positions 8 to 914 of the family's 1533-position model. The record is from RNAcentral. Lineage: Bacteria; Pseudomonadati; Pseudomonadota; Betaproteobacteria.